This 567-nucleotide ribosomal RNA is filed under the name uncultured bacterium. Its description in RNAcentral is "bacterial SSU rRNA". It matches the Rfam family "Bacterial small subunit ribosomal RNA", at positions 338 to 916 of the family's 1533-position model. The record is from RNAcentral.
CCUACGGGAGGCAGCAGUGGGGAAUAUUGCACAAUGGGCGGAAGCCUGAUGCAGCGACGCCGCGUGAGGGAUGAAGGCCUUCGGGUUGUAAACCUCUUUCAGCAGGGACGAAGCGUGAGUGACGGUACCUGCAGAAGAAGCACCGGCUAACUACGUGCCAGCAGCCGCGGUAAUACGUAGGGUGCGAGCGUUGUCCGGAAUUACUGGGCGUAAAGAGUUCGUAGGCGGUUUGUCGCGUCGUUUGUGAAAACCCGGGGCUCAACUUCGGGCUUGCAGGCGAUACGGGCAGACUUGAGUGUUUCAGGGGAGACUGGAAUUCCUGGUGUAGCGGUGAAAUGCGCAGAUAUCAGGAGGAACACCGGUGGCGAAGGCGGGUCUCUGGGAAACAACUGACGCUGAGGAACGAAAGCGUGGGUAGCAAACAGGAUUAGAUACCCCGGUAGUCCACGCCGUAAACGGUGGGCGCUAGGUGUGGGUUCCUUCCACGGGAUCUGUGCCGUAGCUAACGCAUUAAGCGCCCGCCUGGGGAGUACGGCCGCAAGGCUAAAACGUCAAAUGAAUUGACGG